GCCGAUGUGGCGGAAUUGGUAGACGCACACGACUCAAAAUCGUGCGGGAAACCAUGUGGGUUCGAGUCCCACCAUCGGUACCA
RNAcentral lists this transfer RNA (83 nucleotides) under Clostridium sp. CAG:389. RNAcentral's name for it is "transfer RNA-Leu(CAA)". It matches the Rfam family "tRNA". From Rfam's summary of the family: Transfer RNA (tRNA) molecules are approximately 80 nucleotides in length. Their secondary structure includes four short double-helical elements and three loops (D, anti-codon, and T loops). Further hydrogen bonds mediate the characteristic L-shaped molecular structure. tRNAs have two regions of fundamental functional importance: the anti-codon, which is responsible for specific mRNA codon recognition, and the 3' end, to which the tRNAs corresponding amino acid is attached (by aminoacyl-tRNA synthetases). tRNAs cope with the degeneracy of the genetic code in two manners: having more than one tRNA (with a specific anti-codon) for a particular amino acid; and 'wobble' base-pairing, i.e. permitting non-standard base-pairing at the 3rd anti-codon position. The record is from RNAcentral. Lineage: Bacteria; Bacillati; Bacillota; Clostridia; Eubacteriales; Clostridiaceae. RNAcentral also lists the same sequence under 5 other names.